RNAcentral lists this ribosomal RNA (414 nucleotides) under uncultured microorganism. Its description in RNAcentral is "bacterial SSU rRNA". It matches the Rfam family "Archaeal small subunit ribosomal RNA", at positions 459 to 872 of the family's 1478-position model. The record is from RNAcentral.
CAGCCGCCGCGGUAAUACCGGCGGCCCGAGUGGCGGUCACUAUUAUUGGGCUUAAAGCGUCCGUAGCCGGGUUGGGAAGUCCUCCGGGAAAUCUGGCCGCUUAACGGCCAGAAUGCCGGAGGAUACUCCCAGCCUAGGGAGCGGGAGAGGCCGAGGGGAUUCCCGGAGUAGGGGUGAAAUCCUAUAAUCCCGGGAGGACCACCUGUGGCGAAGGCGCUCGGCUGGAACGCGUCCGACGGUGAGGGACGAAGGCCAGGGGAGCAAACCGGAUUAGAUACCCGGGUAGUCCUGGCUGUAAACGAUGCGGACUUUGUGUCGGACAAGCUAUGAGCUUGUCCGGUGCCGGAGGGAAACCGUUAAGUCCGCCGCCUGGGGAGUACGGCCGCAAGGCUGAAACUUAAAGGAAUUGGCGGG